This 1542-nucleotide ribosomal RNA is filed under the name Salmonella enterica subsp. enterica serovar Infantis. RNAcentral describes it as "16S ribosomal RNA". It matches the Rfam family "Bacterial small subunit ribosomal RNA". Lineage: Bacteria; Pseudomonadati; Pseudomonadota; Gammaproteobacteria; Enterobacterales; Enterobacteriaceae. The record is from RNAcentral.
AAAUUGAAGAGUUUGAUCAUGGCUCAGAUUGAACGCUGGCGGCAGGCCUAACACAUGCAAGUCGAACGGUAACAGGAAGCAGCUUGCUGCUUCGCUGACGAGUGGCGGACGGGUGAGUAAUGUCUGGGAAACUGCCUGAUGGAGGGGGAUAACUACUGGAAACGGUGGCUAAUACCGCAUAACGUCGCAAGACCAAAGAGGGGGACCUUCGGGCCUCUUGCCAUCAGAUGUGCCCAGAUGGGAUUAGCUUGUUGGUGAGGUAACGGCUCACCAAGGCGACGAUCCCUAGCUGGUCUGAGAGGAUGACCAGCCACACUGGAACUGAGACACGGUCCAGACUCCUACGGGAGGCAGCAGUGGGGAAUAUUGCACAAUGGGCGCAAGCCUGAUGCAGCCAUGCCGCGUGUAUGAAGAAGGCCUUCGGGUUGUAAAAGUACUUUCAGCGGGGAGGAAGGUGUUGCGGUUAAUAACCGCAGCAAUUGACGUUACCCGCAGAAGAAGCACCGGCUAACUCCGUGCCAGCAGCCGCGGUAAUACGGAGGGUGCAAGCGUUAAUCGGAAUUACUGGGCGUAAAGCGCACGCAGGCGGUCUGUCAAGUCGGAUGUGAAAUCCCCGGGCUCAACCUGGGAACUGCAUUCGAAACUGGCAGGCUUGAGUCUUGUAGAGGGGGGUAGAAUUCCAGGUGUAGCGGUGAAAUGCGUAGAGAUCUGGAGGAAUACCGGUGGCGAAGGCGGCCCCCUGGACAAAGACUGACGCUCAGGUGCGAAAGCGUGGGGAGCAAACAGGAUUAGCUACCCUGGUAGUCCACGCCGUAAACGAUGUCUACUUGGAGGUUGUGCCCUUGAGGUGUGGCUUCCGGAGCUAACGCGUUAAGUAGACCGCCUGGGGAGUACGGCCGCAAGGUUAAAACUCAAAUGAAUUGACGGGGGCCCGCACAAGCGGUGGAGCAUGUGGUUUAAUUCGAUGCAACGCGAAGAACCUUACCUGGUCUUGACAUCCACAGAAGAAUCCAGAGAUGGAUUUGUGCCUUCGGGAACUGUGAGACAGGUGCUGCAUGGCUGUCGUCAGCUCGUGUUGUGAAAUGUUGGGUUAAGUCCCGCAACGAGCGCAACCCUUAUCCUUUGUUGCCAGCGGUCCGGCCGGGAACUCAAAGGAGACUGCCAGUGAUAAACUGGAGGAAGGUGGGGAUGACGUCAAGUCAUCAUGGCCCUUACGACCAGGGCUACACACGUGCUACAAUGGCGCAUACAAAGAGAAGCGACCUCGCGAGAGCAAGCGGACCUCAUAAAGUGCGUCGUAGUCCGGAUUGAGUCUGCAACUCGACUCCAUGAAGUCGGAAUCGCUAGUAAUCGUGGAUCAGAAUGCCACGGUGAAUACGUUCCCGGGCCUUGUACACACCGCCCGUCACACCAUGGGAGUGGGUUGCAAAAGAAGUAGGUAGCUUAACCUUCGGGAGGGCGCUUACCACUUUGUGAUUCAUGACUGGGGUGAAGUCGUAACAAGGUAACCGUAGGGGAACCUGCGGUUGGAUCACCUCCUUA